RNAcentral lists this ribosomal RNA (401 nucleotides) under uncultured bacterium. Its description in RNAcentral is "bacterial SSU rRNA". It matches the Rfam family "Bacterial small subunit ribosomal RNA", at positions 359 to 776 of the family's 1533-position model. The record is from RNAcentral.
GAAUAUUGCGCAAUGGGCGAAAGCCUGACGCAGCAACGCCGCGUGCCCGAUGAAGGCCUUCGGGUUGUAAAGGGCUUUUAAGAGCGAAGAGGAAGGACAGUAGCUCUUGAAUAAGUGUCGGCUAACUACGUGCCAGCAGCCGCGGUAACACGUAGGACACGAGCGUUAUCCGGAUUUACUGGGCGUAAAGGGCUGGCAGGCGGCUGUGUAAGUUGGACGUGAAAGCUCUCGGCUUAACCGGGAGAGGCCGUUCGAGACUGCACAGCUAGAGGGCAGUAGAGGGGCGUGGAAUUCCGGGUGGAGUGGUGAAAUGCGUAGAGAUCCGGAGGAACCUCAGAGGCGAAAGCGGCGCUCUGGGCUGCAUCUGACGCUGAACAGCGAAAGCUAGGGUAGCGAACGGG